GUGCAGGAUAAGUUACAACAUGGCUGUGUGGUGCUGUGCUGUCGUUCCCCCUGCCAAAAGCAACUCGCUUCCUACUAUCCCUGUUGGCCUCGCUGUCACGGCCGCCAGGGACGCUUGGUCACGAACAC
This is a small nucleolar RNA of Callorhinchus milii (elephant shark), 128 nucleotides long. RefSeq annotates it as small nucleolar RNA SNORA63. NCBI's taxonomy places the organism in Eukaryota, Metazoa, Chordata, Chondrichthyes, Chimaeriformes, Callorhinchidae. The record is from RefSeq and is a predicted model, not a curated record. The transcript has a single exon.